RNAcentral lists this ribosomal RNA (539 nucleotides) under uncultured bacterium. RNAcentral describes it as "bacterial SSU rRNA". It matches the Rfam family "Bacterial small subunit ribosomal RNA", at positions 355 to 896 of the family's 1533-position model. The record is from RNAcentral.
UAGGGAAUAUUCCACAAUGAGCGAAAGCUUGAUGGAGCGACACAGCGUGCACGAUGAAGGCCCUCGGGUUGUAAAGUGCUGUUGCAAGGGAAGAACAGUUAGUUGAGGAAAUGCUUCUAAUCUGACGGUACCUUGUUAGAAAGCGAUGGCUAACUAUGUGCCAGCAGCCGCGGUAAUACAUAGGUCGCAAGCGUUAUCCGGAAUUAUUGGGCGUAAAGCGUUCGUAGGCUGUUUAUUAAGUCUGGAGUCAAAUCCCAGGGCUCAACCCUGGCUCGCUUUGGAUACUGGUAAACUAGAGUUAGAUAGAGGUAAGCGGAAUUCCAUGUGGAGCGGUGAAAUGCGUAGAUAUAUGGAAGAACACCAAAGGCGAAGGCAGCUUACUGGGUCUAUACUGACGCUGAGGGACGAAAGCGUGGGGAGCAAACAGGAUUAGAUACCCUGGUAGUCCACGCUGUAAACGAUGAUCAUUAGUCGGUGGAAAACUACUGACGCAGCUAACGCAUUAAAUGAUCCGCCUGAGUAGUAUGCUCGCAAGAGUG